This 1004-nucleotide long non-coding RNA is filed under the name Marmota monax (woodchuck). Lineage: Eukaryota; Metazoa; Chordata; Mammalia; Rodentia; Sciuridae. The record is from RNAcentral.
UGUACACUGAAGCCCUCAUACUGGCACUGGAUGUACUGAUUGCAUGAGUGGCAGAGGUGGGUGGUGCAAAGGGGUCCUGGUAUCAGGUACGUGGACUUCUUGGAAUUUCUCUACCUGAAGUCAGAUUCUGCUGUGGCUCUUUUAGUGAGCAGUUGUGGUCACAGCAGUGCUGUGACCUCUAGGACCCAUGAGGCUCCCUCUGGUUAGGCUUGGACUUAGGUGAGGGACAGCCUGGGUCUUGACCCACCUAUCCAGGAUGUGCCUUGUGCAUAUGGGUCAGCUGAGUCCUGCCCACCAUUUUCCAGGUAUGUGACCAUGGUCCCAAGACUAAACUCUCUGAAUCUCAGUUACCUUUUCUGUGAAAUGGGAGAAAUGACAAUGUGGAAUGCCAUAAACUCCUCUGUGAUCCAGCAGGUGGCAGGUAUUAAGCAGACACUCAUUCGGCCUGUGUGUCCUGCCUGGUGCUGCCACCAUACUGUCUGGACCUAGCCUGGUUGAGGGCUUUGCUAAAGGCACCAUAACCAGCAGUAUGCCCAUUCCCCACCUCUUUGCACAUCUCCCUGGGGCUCCAGCAUAGUGCAGAUGACAGUCAGAGAAACCUACUUUUUUUAACCUGUUCUCAGGACAAAGGUAGAUAGUAUUACCAUCCAUUGUUUACUAAGGACUUGUUCUGUGCUGGAUGCUGCUGUUCUUCACAUUUAAAUCUUUCUUUAACUACAUGUGGAAGGUACGAUGAUAUCCCCUUGACAGGUGAGGAAAUAGAAGCAGGCUAAAAGAUGGGUUUCUAUUGGUAGAGUUACCUUCUUCACACUUUUUUGCCACCUUUUUGUUGCAUUUUAUUUAUGGGAAAACAGAAGGCUUAAAAGAAAUAUCUGCAGCCUGCUUGUGUCAACAUCAGUACCCUUAGAUUGAGUUCUAUGAGAUUUGUAAGGUGUUACCUUUGAGGGGAACUGGGUAAAGGGCACAGAGACCCCCCACCUCCCUCUCUCCCCCCUCCCCCUUUC